This is a non-coding RNA of Mycena polygramma, 98 nucleotides long. NCBI's taxonomy places the organism in Eukaryota, Fungi, Basidiomycota, Agaricomycetes, Agaricales, Mycenaceae. The record is from the annotation of a GenBank genome assembly.
UCGGACGUGGUGUACGGCGCACGGCGGGCGUGUCUUGCCAGUUUCGAUCCUUCGUUAGAUGCAACUCGCAGACCGGGGUUCGACUCCCCGCGUCCGAA